This 34-nucleotide small RNA is filed under the name Bombyx mori (domestic silkworm). Its description in RNAcentral is "ovarian small RNA-30597". The record is from RNAcentral. Lineage: Eukaryota; Metazoa; Arthropoda; Insecta; Lepidoptera; Bombycidae.
UGAAAUGAAUAUACUCAAUUGCUAUAUCUUGUGC